RNAcentral lists this ribosomal RNA (254 nucleotides) under uncultured bacterium. RNAcentral's name for it is "partial 16S ribosomal RNA". It matches the Rfam family "Bacterial small subunit ribosomal RNA", at positions 524 to 776 of the family's 1533-position model. The record is from RNAcentral.
UACGUAGGGUGCGAGCGUUAAUCGGAAUUACUGGGCGUAAAGCGUGCGCAGGCGGUGAUGUAAGACAGUUGUGAAAUCCCCGGGCUCAACCUGGGAACUGCAUCUGUGACUGCAUCGCUGGAGUGCGGCAGAGGGGGAUGGAAUUCCGCGUGUAGCAGUGAAAUGCGUAGAUAUGCGGAGGAACACCGAUGGCGAAGGCAAUCCCCUGGGCCUGCACUGACGCUCAUGCACGAAAGCGUUGGGGAGCAAACAGG